This 254-nucleotide ribosomal RNA is filed under the name uncultured bacterium. Its description in RNAcentral is "partial 16S ribosomal RNA". It matches the Rfam family "Bacterial small subunit ribosomal RNA", at positions 524 to 776 of the family's 1533-position model. The record is from RNAcentral.
CACGUAGGGUGCGAGCGUUGUCCGGAAUUAUUGGGCGUAAAGAGCUCGUAGGCGGUGUGUCACGUCGUUCGUGAAAACCUGCAGCUUAACUGUGGGCGUGCGGUCGAUACGGGCAUCACUGGAGUUCGGCAGGGGAGACUGGAAUUCCUGGUGUAGCGGUGAAAUGCGCAGAUAUCAGGAGGAACACCGGUGGCGAAGGCAGGUCACUGGGCCGCAACUGACGCUGAGGAGCGAAAGCAUGGGGAGCGAACAGG